Molecule: ribosomal RNA, 274 nt
Filed under: uncultured bacterium
Lineage: Bacteria
Description: partial 16S ribosomal RNA
Rfam family: Bacterial small subunit ribosomal RNA
Source: RNAcentral
AUACGGAGGGUGCAAGCGUUAUCCGGAAUCAUUGGGUUUAAAGGGUCCGCAGGCGGGCUAAUAAGUCAGUGGUGAAAUCCUCCCGCUCAACGGGAGAACUGCCAUUGAUACUGUUAGUCUUGAAUUCGGUCGAAGUAGGCGGAAUGUGUCAUGUAGCGGUGAAAUGCAUAGAUAUGACACAGAACACCGAUAGCGAAGGCAGCUUACUAGACCUGGAUUGACGCUCAUGGACGAAAGCGUGGGGAGCGAACAGGAUUAGAAACCCGAGUAGUCC